RNAcentral lists this ribosomal RNA (406 nucleotides) under uncultured bacterium. Its description in RNAcentral is "partial 16S ribosomal RNA". It matches the Rfam family "Bacterial small subunit ribosomal RNA", at positions 30 to 526 of the family's 1533-position model. The record is from RNAcentral.
AUUGAACGCUGGCUGCAGGCCUAACACAUGCAAGUCGAACGAGUGGCGGACGGGUGAGUAAUGUCUGGGAAACUGCCUGAUGGAGGGGGAUAACUACCGGAAACGGUAGCUAAUACCGCAUACCAUCGGAUGUGCCCAGAUGGGAGUAGCUGGUAGGUGGGGUAAAGGCUCACCUAGGCGACGAUCCCUAGCUGGUCCGAGAGGAUGAACGGCCAAACUGUGGCUGAAAAACGGUCCAGACUCCUACGGGAGGCAGCAGUGGGGAAUAUUGCACAAUGGGCGCAAGCCUGAUGCAGCCGUGCCGGGUGUAUGAAGAGGGCCUUCGGGUUGUAAAGUACUUUCAGCGGGGAGGCGUUACCCGCAGAAGAAGCACCGGCUAACUCCGAGCCAGCAGCCGCGGUAAUUC